CCUACGGGUGGCUGCAGUGGGGGAUAUUGCACAAUGGGGGGAACCCUGAUGCAGCGACGCCGCGUGGGUGAAGGAGGGCUUCGGCAUGUAAAGCUCUAUCGGCAGGGAAGAAGCCAGACGGUACCUGACUAAGAAGCCUUGGCUAACUACGUGCCAGCAGCCGCGGUAAUACGGAGGGGGCGAGCGUUAUCCGGAUUCACUGGGUGUAAAGGGAGCGUAGACGGCCAAGGAAGCCAGGGGUGAAAGCCCGGGGCCCAACCCCGGGACUGCCCUUGGAACUGACUGGCUGGAGUGCGGGAGGGGCAGGCGGAAUUCCUGGUGUAGCGGUGAAAUGCGUAGAUAUCAGGAGGAACACCGACGGCGAAGGCAGCCUGCUGGACCGCGACUGACGUUGAGGCUCGAAAGCGUGGGGAGCGAACAGGAUUAGAUACCCUAGUAGUC
RNAcentral lists this ribosomal RNA (441 nucleotides) under uncultured bacterium. RNAcentral's name for it is "partial 16S ribosomal RNA". It matches the Rfam family "Bacterial small subunit ribosomal RNA", at positions 338 to 795 of the family's 1533-position model. The record is from RNAcentral.